UAAACUAUCGCAAGAACAAAAAACCAAACACCGCAUUUCUUUCUUAUCCUUUCAGAAUAUUUCAGUAGAAUGGGAAGCUACACUUGAAAUGCAAGAUGGAAUAUUUUCCCUAAGCUCUCCAUAAUAGAAUGUUGGUUAUACAUCCUUAACUAAACUAACACUGUAUCUUUUCUGUAGUACUGAUAAGAAAAUUGAAAAUGAACAACUCGUUAAUAUACUAUCUGAAAAAUGUGAGAUUAGAGAGACCAGCAGAAUUUUGAAGGCCAAGUAAGGUGGUGUUUGAUGAUGAGAGAUAAGCAACUCUUUGAAUAGAAGGAUUGUAAGAGAUUUACCCUCUGCUAUUAGCCCCCCUCUAGUUCCCAGGGUUUAAAAUCAAUUACAAUUUCAUUUGUACUUAAAAUUUUUCUUAUUGUCACAUAGAUUGAAUUUCAAAGAGAACAGGACAGCCUUACACAUAGAACUAGUCAGUGGGAAGCAGAAAGUGUACAACCUAAAUUGUUUACUUCA
RNAcentral lists this long non-coding RNA (507 nucleotides) under Pan troglodytes (chimpanzee). RNAcentral describes it as "long non-coding RNA NONPTRT000376". Lineage: Eukaryota; Metazoa; Chordata; Mammalia; Primates; Hominidae. The record is from RNAcentral.